RNAcentral lists this ribosomal RNA (114 nucleotides) under uncultured bacterium. RNAcentral describes it as "partial 16S ribosomal RNA". It matches the Rfam family "Bacterial small subunit ribosomal RNA", at positions 1358 to 1482 of the family's 1533-position model. The record is from RNAcentral.
UACGGUGAAUACGUUCCCGGACCUUGUACACACCGCCCGUCAAGCCAUGGAAGCUGGGUGUACCUAAAGUCGGUAACCGCAAGGAGCCGCCUAGGGUAAACUAGUAACUGGGCU